Octopus bimaculoides (California two-spot octopus) is the source of this 3554-nucleotide long non-coding RNA. Lineage: Eukaryota; Metazoa; Mollusca; Cephalopoda; Octopoda; Octopodidae. The record is from RefSeq and is a predicted model, not a curated record.
CAUUCAAUACAAACAUUUUGUCAAACUGUUAACAUUAUUAUUCCUUUGUAUUCCAGGCAAAAAUAAUUCUUUGUGCGAUUGGUCAAGGUUUCCACCGAACCACAUUUUAUGUGUGAUAUUUCCAGAUCUUCAGACCAAUGCCAGCAUUGAGACCAGAAUCAAAAUCGCUACAUGUCCUCACUUCCUCUUAAUUUAUAUUAUUAUUAUUACUAUCAUCAUCGAAAGCAUAAUAAUAAUAAUAAUAAUAAUGAUAGUAAUAAUAAUGAUAGUAGUAGUAGUAAUAAUAAUAAUAAUAAUAAUGAUACUAAUAAUAAUAAGAGUAAUAAUAUUAAUAAUUAAAUAUUAGUAGUAGUGAUAUUAAUGCUGUUGCAUUACAGCACCAUUAGGUCUUCAGAUUUGUCUGUGCAACAAUGCCAUAUCUCCUCAUUGUCUUUUAUUUCAUAUAACAGUCAUUUAAUAAUAUACAGAUUUGAAUUGAUUCAGUGACAGACAAAAUACCUUAUAUCUCUUUGGUUUCCGAAUUUGACUCCUGCAAGUGUCUACUUUAUUAUUCAACCAUCCAAUGUGGAUAUAGCAACUAAGCAUUUUCAAGGUUUGAGUUCAUCAAUUGUUCUUGUAUAUUUGUGUUAGAAAUAAUAGAACUUAUAAUAAAUUGCUGUCUCAUGAGGUUCCUGGGUGGGACUUGAACUCAGUUUGUACAAAUGCCAAAGCAAAAUCUAAGCGUCAUAAGAAUAGCAAUAAUAAAGAAAUACAGAAGCCAUACAAAAGCUCACGACACUAUACACUGACCCCAAAAUAGCUCUGCUAGGAACAGCUCAUAUCUUGCACAAGACACUGUUAAUUCAAUAGUAUAGCUCUAAUAGAACAGUCUUCACACACAACAUACUCUCCAUACAAUAAGCACCAUAUAAUCUAAAACAAUACAACUGUCACAGCAUGUACCAUGUAAGAUUAAGGGCCAUGAAAGCAACACAACCUUCAUUACACACACCACACAACAAACACUAAUAUAAAAUAAGAAACAAAACCCCAUAACAAAACAAACUGAUGCAGAACACCAACAGUAGGAGUCUGUUCUCCCUCAAUACUCGUAAGAAUGCAAUGCUGCAUACACAUCUUGGGGAUACAGAGGUGCACCAGGUGGUGCAAUUGAAACUUGCAUGAAAUUACUGAAGGAAAAUAAAAUAAUAAUAGUUUCUGAUUUAGGUACAAGGCCAACAGGUUUUAGUGGAAGGGAUUAGUCAUAACCAUUGACACCAGUACUUGACUGGUACUUCAAGGAAUGGAAGGUAAAGUUGACAUUGGUGGGAUUUGAAAUCAAAAUGAAAGGAGCUUGCCCAACACUGUAAUGUUUCUGCCAGUUUACUGUCUCCAGUAGUCGUAGUAGUAGUAGUAGUAAUAAUAAUAAUAAUAAUCCUUUCUACUAUAGGCACAAGACCUGAGAAUUUGCAGGAGGGGACUACUUGAUUGCAUCAACCCUGGUGCUUAGCUGGCACUUAUUUUAUCACCCCCCCCCCCCAAAAAAAAUGAUGAAAGGCAAAGUAGACCUCAAUUAUGGUCUGAGUUCAAAUUCAACCAAGGUCAACUUUGCUUUUCAUCUUUUUGGGGUUUGAUAAAGUAAGUACCAGUUGAGCAUUGGGGUUAAUGUGAUCCACUUGGCCCUCAUUCAAAAUUUCAGGCCUUCUGCCUAAUGUAGAAAAAAUUAUUAUUAUUAGCACUAUUGUCACUAGGAAUUGAAUCUUUAGAUUGACUUGUAACACAUUCUUGACAAAUCUCUUUUCAACCAUUUAUUUGAUUGUAAGUUAGGUUUUAUGGAUGAAAAAACAACACCAAAAGGAAUCUAUUUUUUUUUUUUUUUAUGACAGAACAGGAAUAAGACAUUACAAGAGAAAGAGCAGUAUCCACCUUUUCAACUGACUGAUUUUUUUAAAUAUUAUGUUAUAACCCCCCCCCCCUUUUCUUUUUUCUCAGUUUGUGUUGCUGUUCUUAUGCCACAAAGCUGUGUAUUGCCUGCAAUCUCAAACAAUAUUAUCAGGUACACACACACACACACACACACACACACACACACACACAAUGUUUGCAUUAUCGGCAUUGUCAUCAUCAUCAUCAUCAUCAUCAUCAUUAAAACAGCAAAAACAAUAAAACAUUUCAUGUCUAGUUUACCAUGCUUGUAUGGGUUGGAUAGGUUUUGCCCACUUGUAAUAGUCUGCCUCAUCUGGCACACAAAGCAACAGAAAAAAUGCGCCAGUCAGCUAGCCAGCUAGUCAAUUCUAUUGCAGUGUAUGUCAUCUUGCAGUAUGGAAUAAUAAUAAUAAUAAUAAUAAUAAUAAUAAUAAUAAUAAUAAUGAUGAUGACAAUAAUAAUAAUAAUAAUAAUAAUUUUAACACCUACUUUUCCAUGUUCUCAUGGGCCAGAUGGAAUUUGUUGAGGUGAAUUUUCUAUAGCUUAAUGCCCUUCCUGAUAUCAACCUCACCUUUUUUCCAAGUAAGGUAAUAUUUCCCCAAACACCUUUUUACAGAAGACUGUUAAUAAAGGUUACCACUUGCAUGAUGUUGACACUCAUUUACAGCAAUUAUGCAAAGUCAAGGCAAAAACACACACACACACACAUCUUUUAAGAUCAUUUACGGGAAACUUUUUUUUGAUAUGCAUAUGAAAGCUCCUAUUUUAUCAUGCCAGCUACAAUCUAAUGAUACCGACUGGCAAUAGCAGUUUUUUUGGGGUUUUACUGAUCUGUGCUGAUAGAAAUCCAGGAAUACGAACUUUGGUUGUAAGAAACGUGAUUUGUGGAAAUGCACGUAGCGAUGCACUAAAAUCUUAUACAUUCCAUUUUCAGAUUAUUAUUAUUAUUAUUACUACUAUUUAUACAUACUCUUUACUCUCUUUUACUUGUUUCAGUCAUUUGACUGUGGCCAUGCUGAAGCACCACCAUUAGUCGAGCAAAUCGACUCAAGGAGAUUAUUCUUUGGAAGCCUAGUACUUAUUCUAUCGGUGUCUUUUGCCGAACCGCUAAGUUACGGGGACAUAAACACACCACCAUGUGGUUGGGAAACAAACUUCUUACCACACAGCCUCAUCUUAUUUUGUAAGUGAUAUUAGAGGGUUGUUGUAUGUGACAAGUCUAACACUCCCUUCUCUCUUGCAACAGUUUUAGUCAAAGUUACUUUACCCCCUAGGCAGAUAAUAUGCAAUCUGCCUUUCAGAGUUUGCAUUUUACUUGUUAGUAAUGUAAUGAUGUAGUGUUUGUAAAAGAAAGAGGCAGAGAAAGCUUAAGAAAGAGAUUGAGACAGAAGAGAAAGGAACAGAAAGUGAAGGAUAUGAAAAAAAUUAUAUAAUAAUAAUAAUAUAAUAAUGCUGAAUAACUUAAAAAUAAAGAUUAAUACUUAGAAUAUGAAAUGAAGGUGUAUGUAUAUCUAUAUCUGUGUACACACACACACACAUUACAAAGGCGAUAAUAAUUUCUUUAUAAUAUAUGGCAGGAUUAGAAGUUUCAAUUUGAAACUAAGAAAUAAAGAAAAAGAUGCAUUGAAUGCAUUUAAUUAAUUUUUUAA